Molecule: unclassified non-coding RNA, 695 nt
Filed under: Limulus polyphemus (Atlantic horseshoe crab)
Lineage: Eukaryota; Metazoa; Arthropoda; Merostomata; Xiphosura; Limulidae
Description: eR membrane protein complex subunit 6-like, transcript variant X1
Source: RNAcentral
GGGGAAGCUUGUGUCAGUUUCAUAAUACAAACAUCACAAAAAUCAACGUGCUCUAACUAAAAGUAGAAUUUAGGAGUUGUCAUGAUUUCACCCACAAGUAUCAAAUCCAAGGUUAAAAAGGACAAGUGUGGAGAAGUAGUUGCCUACAGUGAGGGAGCUGUUCGGCAAAAUGCUGCAAUUGUAGAAUAUUGUCGUAUUUCUAUGUCGGCUCUGUCUGGUAGUACAGCUGGGCUCCUUGGACUGACGGCUUUAUAUGGAUUUGCAUUUUACUUUAUGAUGGCACUUGCUCUGUGGAUGAUGUUGAUUAUGAAAAUGGGUUCUGACUGGAAGAAAUACUUCAGAAAUCGAACUACAUUACUAACAAGUGGACUCUUUGGAGGUCUGUUUACGUACGUGCUGUUCUGGACAUUUUUAUAUGGAAUGGUUCACGUGUACUGAGAGUGUUGUGUGAAAUAUUUCUUCGUUUGCUUUAGUUUUCCCAAAGCAAGAAAACAUCCAUCAUGUUAUGUAAAUGUACAUUUGUUCGACUUUAAUGAAAGCAAUAUUGUAAGAUUGACGUUGUCGUUAUUACUUAAUUUAUUACCAGUUGAAUGUGUUAUGUACUUGUAGUGGUUAUUGCUGAUAAUGAAAGAAGGUAUAAAGUGAAGUACCUGCAGUGAAUUAAAAUUUCACAUAAAUAAAUGUUCAUCUUUUUA